RNAcentral lists this ribosomal RNA (497 nucleotides) under uncultured bacterium. RNAcentral describes it as "partial 16S ribosomal RNA". It matches the Rfam family "Bacterial small subunit ribosomal RNA", at positions 28 to 507 of the family's 1533-position model. The record is from RNAcentral.
GAUGAACGCUGGCGGUGUGCCUAAUACAUGCAAGUCGAGCGAACGGACGAGAAGCUUGCUUCUCUGAUGUUAGCGGCGGACGGGUGAGUAACACGUGGAUAACCUACCUAUAAGACUGGGAUAACUUCGGGAAACCGGAGCUAAUACCGGAUAAUAUUUUGAACCGCAUGGUUCAAAAGUGAAAGACGGUCUUGCUGUCACUUAUAGAUGGAUCCGCGCUGCAUUAGCUAGUUGGUAAGGUAACGGCUUACCAAGGCAACGAUGCAUAGCCGACCUGAGAGGGUGAUCGGCCACACUGGAACUGAGACACGGUCCAGACUCCUACGGGAGGCAGCAGUAGGGAAUCUUCCGCAAUGGGCGAAAGCCUGACGGAGCAACGCCGAGUGAGUGAUGAAGGUCUUCGGAUCGUAAAACUCUGUUAUUAGGGAAGAACAUAUGUGUAAGUAACUGUGCACAUCUUGACGGUACCUAAUCAGAAAGCCACGGCUAACUACGUG